RNAcentral lists this ribosomal RNA (532 nucleotides) under Rhodotorula kratochvilovae. RNAcentral describes it as "eukaryotic LSU rRNA". It matches the Rfam family "Eukaryotic large subunit ribosomal RNA", at positions 111 to 655 of the family's 3401-position model. The record is from RNAcentral. Lineage: Eukaryota; Fungi; Basidiomycota; Microbotryomycetes; Sporidiobolales; Sporidiobolaceae.
AAAUUUAUAAUCUGGCACCUUCGGUGUCCGAGUUGUAAUCUCUAGAAGUGUUUUCCGCGUUGGACCGCACACAAGUCUGUUGGAAUACAGCGGCACAGUGGUGAUACCCCCGUACACGGUGCGGACGCCCAGCGCUUUGUGAUACACUUUCAAUGAGUCGAGUUGUUUGGGAAUGCAGCUCAAAUUGGGUGGUAAAUUCCAUCUAAAGCUAAAUAUUGGCGAGAGACCGAUAGCGAACAAGUACCGUGAGGGAAAGAUGAAAAGCACUUUGGAAAGAGAGUUAACAGUACGUGAAAUUGUUGGAAGGGAAACGCUUGAAGUCAGACUUGCUUGCCGGAGCUUGCUUCGGUUUGCAGGCCAGCAUCAGUUUUCCGGGGUGGAUAAUGGUGGUUUGAAGGUAGCAGCCUCGGCUGUGUUAUAGCUUUCCACUGGAUACAUCCUGGGGGACUGAGGAACGCAGCGUGCUUUUUGCGAAGGUUUCGACCUUUUCACGCUUAGGAUGCUGGUGUAAUGACUUUAAACGACCCGUCUU